UCCGGUUUAACACCGGCAGUCUCCUUAGAGUCCCCAACUUAAUGCUGGUAACUAAGAACAAGGGUUGCGCUCGUUAUCGGACUUAACCGGACAUCUUACGACACGAGCUGACGACAGCCAUGCAGCACCUAUCACCACGUCCCCGAAGGGAAAGCUACAUCUCUGCAGUUGUCGUGGGAUGUUAAGGGUAGGUAAGGUUCUGCGCGUUGCUUCGAAUUAAACCACAUACUCCACCGCUUGUGCGGGCCCCCGUCAAUUCCUUUGAGUUUUAGCCUUGCGACCGUACUCCCCAGGCGGGAUACUUAACGCGUUAGCUGUGGUACUCAGGAGGUUAAUUUCCCAAACACCUAGUAUCCAUAGUUUACGGCGUGGACUAC
RNAcentral lists this unclassified non-coding RNA (377 nucleotides) under uncultured Oligoflexaceae bacterium. RNAcentral describes it as "contains 16S-23S intergenic spacer region". The record is from RNAcentral. Lineage: Bacteria; Pseudomonadati; Bdellovibrionota; Oligoflexia; Oligoflexales; Oligoflexaceae.